AGGGAAUAUUGGGCAAUGGACGCAAGUCUGACCCAGCCAUGCCGCGUGCAGGAUGAAGGCGUUAUGCGUUGUAAACUGCUUUUAUACAGGAAGAAACGACUCUUGCGAGAGGCAUUGACGGUACUGUAUGAAUAAGCACCGGCUAACUCCGUGCCAGCAGCCGCGGUAAUACGGAGGGUGCAAGCGUUGUCCGGAUUUAUUGGGUUUAAAGGGUGCGCAGGUGGUUUAUUAAGUCAGUGGUGAAAGACGGUCGCUCAACGAUUGCAGUGCCAUUGAUACUGGUAGACUUGAGUAAAGUAGAGGUGGGCGGAAUUGAUAGUGUAGCGGUGAAAUGCAUAGAUAUUAUCAAGAACUCCAAUUGCGUAGGCAGCUCACUUGGCUUUUACUGACACUCAUGCACGAAAGUGUGGGUAUCAAACAGGA
RNAcentral lists this ribosomal RNA (423 nucleotides) under uncultured Pseudarcicella sp. RNAcentral describes it as "bacterial SSU rRNA". It matches the Rfam family "Bacterial small subunit ribosomal RNA", at positions 356 to 777 of the family's 1533-position model. The record is from RNAcentral. Lineage: Bacteria; Pseudomonadati; Bacteroidota; Cytophagia; Cytophagales; Flectobacillaceae.